Molecule: long non-coding RNA, 3037 nt
Filed under: Prunus dulcis (almond)
Lineage: Eukaryota; Viridiplantae; Streptophyta; Magnoliopsida; Rosales; Rosaceae
Description: sRNA ncRNA
Rfam family: Small nucleolar RNA Z157/R69/R10 (bases 486-583)
Source: RNAcentral
CUUUUCCUUCCGUAUCCCUCUCUCGCACGAGACAGAGUCUCUUCCCUUCAGUUUUCAUUUCUUCUUCUAUUUUGACCUAAUCGGCUGUGCCUGUGGCUGCUCAAAUCUUCAAUCCAGAGCUGCACCUUUGCUGCGGCUGUGCUUGUGGCUGUUGCGGCUGUGCCUGUGGCUGCUGCGACAGCAUCUGUGCCGCUUCUUCAUCGAUCUCACGAUCUCCCGCCCAGGCCUAGGUAUCAUCCCUUCUCUCUCUCUCUCUCUCGCUCAAGUCGACCUCAGCCUAACCCACAUCACCCCUCUCUGUUUCAGGCACACACAACACAAACCCGAUCAAGAGCCGCCACAACCACCUCCAUUGCCGAAGGUAAAUUCUCUCGUCUGUGCAUUGUAGGGUUUUUAUUUUUAUUUUUAUUUUGCUUUGAAAUUUAUACCUAUAUCAGAAUGAUAUAUGCUAUGGGAGCUAUGGGAAGUGUUUUCUGUUAAAUCAGAAGUGUGCGGUGAUGAGGCUAUUUGUGGACUAGAGUUUAUGAUCUGGGUUCUUCUCCCAAAAGUUUGAUUACAAACCCUUGGCUGUCUGAGCACUCUUAAUCUGUUUUCUCUUAUCUUCCAAUCUGUAGUUUUGAAAAGUGCUUUGUUCCAAAGUCACCCGUAUAAUCUUUUUGACUUUCUGGCAAAACCCAUAAAAAUUUUCUCAAAUUUAUUGGCUUUUUUUUUUUUGCUGUAAAAUUGUUCUUGUUUGGUAGGGUUUAUAUGGCAGUAUGGAGCUUAUAAUUGUAUACAUGCAGGGAAAAACAAGGAAGUACUUGCGAUAUGUGAGAGCAGCAGGUCCCCUCACAGCUGUUCUUUCGGGCACAAUUUUUGUAAAAAUAUUUAAUCCAUCUUCCAUAUCUUUGGUGAGUGUGAUGUAUAUUAGAUUCACUUUAAUUGGCAGUUAUUCAAUCUAACAGUGUAGUGAUUACAAUAUACUUUUCUCAUGUUCUGUUUAUGCUUGCUUUAGUAAUAGAUUAUAUAUGGAAUGUUCUAUUUUUGUCGUACAUUCUGUCAGCCAUAAGUCUGCUGUUGUGCACCUGUCUAAAAUCUUAGCCUGUGAACACUCAUGAACCUGUCAUCCAGGAUAUUUGAGAAGAAAAAAAGAAGAAGAAUUUCCUAGUUAGUUAUUCAUUCUCUAUUAGAUUCACUACAUAUCGUUCUCUAAUAGUUAAAAUAACCAAUGUAGAGUUUUGCAAGCUUUGUUAUGCCAUCUGUUUGAAAAUUGGGAUGGUAAAGAGAGCAUGGUGAGCUUGCCAAUUUGGAAUGCAGGCCUGUUACAUAGAAUGAUAGAGUUUCCUAAAUAGUCACAAUCUAAUGUGGUGCCUGUUUUAAAAUUGAAUAAGUAUCAAUGUAGGAGACAGAAAACAUCCUAUUUAGUUAUGUUGCUAUUUUUCCUGUUGUAUGAUUCCUUCUGUUUUCAUGUAAUGUCUCUUUUCUCAUAGAAGAAUUCGACAGAACUUUAAGUUAGUAGUAGGUUACUAAAGGAUCUUGACUGUUGUUUAGGUAGGAGAUAUACCUCAGGGCCUACCAAGCUUUUCUAUUCCUAGAGCUUUUGGAUAUGCUACAUCUUUGAUCCCCACCGCACUUCUCAUUACUGGUGUAGCUAUUUUGGUAAGAUGAGCUCCAUAGAACCUUUUACUUGUAGCUUUGCUUUCUCUGUUUAAAUGAUCAUAUCUAUCAGUACUGUGAUAAUUCAUUUGUAUCUCUAGGAAUCUGUGGGCAUUGCAAAAGCAUUAGCAGCAAAGAAUGGGUAUGAGCUGGACUCAAAUCAAGAGGUAUGUUUUUGGAAAAAUUGGUAGGGCAUGUGCUCAAAACCGUAGCUCUUGUUUAUCAAUAAAAACAAAAAUACAAGUUUAAGUAAGAACUUUGUGAUUAAAGCUUAACUGCUUGCUGCAUGCUUAUCCGUUUGUCUUUGUAUUACUAUUGCUUCUUGAUACAUGAUUCUUGGUGAAUUUGAUUAAGUCAUUUGGUUGCAAGCAAGGAAACUGUACCCUAUAAUCUAAUGAAUCUUUUUUUGUUUUAACCAGUUGUUCGGUCUUGGUGUGGCCAAUAUUUUUGGUUCAUUUUUUUCAGCAUAUCCAACAACAGGUGUGAUGCCUAUGAGGUUCUAAGAGCUGCAGGCAGAAUUUUCAUAUAUAUUAUAUUUUUGAUAUAUUUUAUACUUUUUGGAGUCGUGCAGGUUCUUUUUCUAGGUCAGCUGUGAAUCAUGAAAGUGGAGCUAAAUCUGGCUUAUCUGGACUUGUUAUGGGAGUCUUGAUGGGCUGCGCUCUCCUAUUUAUGACACCACUGUUUGAAUAUAUACCGCAGGUUUAGUUCCAUCUUAUUGCAUUUGCCUUUUCAUUUAGGAAUAUAAUCUUGUGAAGCUCAUGAUUGAUGGCUUUUGCUGCUCCUCGUCAUUAGAAUAUGUCGUUUGUUAUCCUUCUUGCUCAUUACAUUCUAUUAGAAAUUUAUUCAUGGGGCUGUUUGCUAGUUGCAAAAAUUUGAAAACAUAAGGUGGCAUCUUUGCUAUUAUGUCAAAUGAUGUGUUUACUUGUUUUAUCACUGUUGUCAUUCCAAUUUGAUGUCCUAACUAUGGGAUUUGUUCUUUAUGUAAUUGGAUAAGGUCUCAAAUUGUCUCCUAGGAUGGUUGAGUAAGACUCUCCCUUCUUAGAAAUAGGGUGUAAAACAUCCACUACAAAUUUGAAUAAGACUCUCCCUUCUUAGUGUGAUGAAGAUAUGUUGGAAGAUAUUUUUCUUGCAUCCUAUUUUAAUUAUGAUUUGUUGAUGGUGAAACUUUGUGUUAAUUCUUUUCAUUGUUGUGUAGGUUGCUUUGUUAAGGUUUUGGAAGAAUGGAUGAAGCAGAUUUUUUGCAAGGAUGCUAUCUUUAUGUGUAUUUUUGUGAUGGGUUGUAAUCUUUAAUUUCAUAAGUUUAAUUUGGAUUGCUUGCUUUAUUUGUGUAUUAUUUUUUUGUCAUGGUUUGUAAGAGAUUAUAUUUCCUUUCCUUGCAUGGUUGGUUGAAUGUGUGAACGUG